UACGAAGGGGGCUAGCGUUGUUCGGAAUUACUGGGCGUAAAGCGCGCGCAGGCGGCUAUCCAAGUCAGUGGUGAAAGCCCGGAGCUCAACUCCGGAACUGCCAUUGAAACUGUUUAGCUGGAGUAUGAGAGAGGUGAGUGGAAUUCCCAGUGUAGAGGUGAAAUGCGUAGAGAUCGGGAGGAACACCAGAGGCGAAGGCGGCUCACUGGACAGUCACUGACACUCAACUGCGAAAGCGUGGGGAGCAAACAGG
This 253-nucleotide ribosomal RNA is filed under the name uncultured bacterium. Its description in RNAcentral is "partial 16S ribosomal RNA". It matches the Rfam family "Bacterial small subunit ribosomal RNA", at positions 524 to 776 of the family's 1533-position model. The record is from RNAcentral.